This is a long non-coding RNA of Mytilus trossulus (common blue mussel), 2227 nucleotides long. RefSeq lists it as uncharacterized. The transcript has 3 exons. The record is from RefSeq and is a predicted model, not a curated record. NCBI's taxonomy places the organism in Eukaryota, Metazoa, Mollusca, Bivalvia, Mytilida, Mytilidae.
AACUCUGUUAUGUCAAAAAUUUGAUCACAUUCGAAAUUUAGACAGAAUGAUGCAAAAAAUAGUGUGUCAAAAUUGAUCCCAACAGUUCAGGGUUCAAUCUCUAGGGUAGUAGCAGGCUGGGCUCAGCAAAUCAUUUUAUUCUAAACAUUAAAAAAGGAAGUAUUGAGUCUUAUUUUGUACAAUUGAUUUAAUAACUAUUUUAUUCCAGAUUUCAGUAGGUUGAUUAAGUGAAACUACUAAAUUAGUUGAAAAAAUUUAAAUUCCACCAUUUUUCUGCUGAUUUUAUAUUUCCUUGGCAAUAAAUGUAUACAUGAAUUGUUAUCUUAUAUCUAUUUCAGUAGAUACCUGGCAAUAUAUCACUGAGAAUUGAUGUUUGUUCCUCCUGAUUGCUGCAGCUUUCCUGGUCAUAAGGAAUUAAUGCAGGUUCUUCAACUUCCUGUUCUUUAUCUGGAGGGGAAAAAAACAACUUAAAACUGCGGACAUAUGUAGCGAAUAUUAUUGAUGUGACAUCAAGAAUGCAGAAUUUUGAUAAAAAGGAAUAAUCAAACAAUUAAUGUGACGUUGAACGGUAAUUUGACAGUGGAGGACCCUCCAGUCUGAAGUUUGGUUCAUCAAUGCUGUCGUGGAAUACAACAUUUUCACCAUCAUAAUGCCACCAGAUCUGAUCACCAGGGAUAAUGAAAUCUGCUAUUCUUGCCAAAUGAGAUUGGACAACUGAUGAUUUUCCUGAUAGCAGUUUCUUUGUGAAGAUUGUAUUUUUCCUGUGUGGUAGACGCUUAGCUUGACGACUGAUGGUUGAGUCUUGCUUUGCAAAUGAGUCGCAUCUAUCAUCACUUUUCUGUUGCGCAUUGUAUCGUAUAAUUGUGUUGUCUAUUAUCCAACCGGGUUUCCUAUUAGUUGUAGUUUCCGCUAUUCUCCUUAAGCUUCCAAAUGAUCGUUCUUCCUGUUCACAUAAAAUUGAUUUUGUAUUUAUAAUCCGGUACACUUCUGGUAAAUGAACAACUAAACUGUGGAAAUGGCAACCGUACAGUUUUCUGGUGGUUAUUUUCACUGGUGUUCCUAUUACAGAUUUUGUUAAUACUCCAAAUAAAAAAGUAAGGUUAUACAACCGUAGUAUCUGCCGUGGUGAUCUUUUCUCCUCUGAGCUGUAUGCAAUGUUGAUUAUUUCAACUAAUACUUGAAUAAGGUUAACUGUAUCUUCAGAAAUUUUAUUAUGCUGUUGUUCAGUUGAUACAUAUUGAGCUAGUUGUAUAGCAAAAUGCCUUGCGUCAGAACCCUUAAUUUGAUUUUUAUCCCCAAUGGUCUUUGAACAAAAAUUUUCUAAUUCAGCUUUUGUUUCUUUAUUUUCUACAUGGUGGGGAAGUUCAGUAAUAAUGUUUUGUACGAUGUUACAUAUAUCAUGUAAUGGUUCACAGGGCAUUACUUCAUAGCCUUCAAUAUUCAUUUCUGUUGAUGUUUUAUCGGGUUGUGUCAUUAGUAAGGCAGGGGGUCUACAUAUUCCAUGGAGUACUGAGGUUAACUCUUCCUGUAAUCUUGACUUUAAAUUCAUAUGAAAAGUAUCAACCCCCCUUUCUUCAAGCUCAUCAAUUAAUUCUUCCUUUUUUAAGUUUUGAAAUGGAUUUAUUAUUCCGUCCUUAAUUUUCCUCCAGCAGGAACCCUCAACAACAAGUUUUCUUCUAUCCUCAAGAUCUAGGGGCGUCAUUUGAUAGCAGCAUUCCAAAUUCAUGUGGCUUUUACUUUCUACACCGCAAAUACAGCUAUAGUUUCCCCCUCUCUGUUGUCCUGCCUCAAAUUGCCUGGCUGGUCCAUCACCACUGAAAAGUCUAAGUUUGAAAACUAGAUCUACGUCUCCGUACCUUAUUUUGUUUGUCAAUUGUUUUAGGUCUUCAAUCCUUGCUUCAGUGUAACUUAUCUGGUCAAUAUCUUUGCUUGCUGAAACAUGAAAAAUUGUAAUUUUUUAAAUUAUUAGAAGUAUUUCACUUUAUUUGUACUGAUGACUAUCAUGACUAUGUAACUAAGGUGUGUAAAAUAACUUUAAUGCAUUGUAUGUAAACUGUUUUUGAUACCUUAAAAUUCAUAAAUCAUGUAAAUUUUGAAACAUAUCUUUGGUCACAUAUGAAUAGAUUGAAAUAUUUAUUAAAGGUGUUGCAUUCAUGCAAUGUUGUUGUUUAUAAGAAAUUUGCAUUUCAUUUAUAUUAUUGUUUGUAGAGGUCAGUAAAUUAGGAAA